Molecule: ribosomal RNA, 499 nt
Filed under: uncultured bacterium
Lineage: Bacteria
Description: partial 16S ribosomal RNA
Rfam family: Bacterial small subunit ribosomal RNA
Source: RNAcentral
GACGAACGCUGGCGGCGUGCCUAAUACAUGCAAGUCGAGCGAAGUUUUUCUGGUGCUUGCACUAGAAAAACUUAGCGGCGAACGGGUGAGUAACACGUAAAGAACCUGCCUCAUAGACUGGGACAACUAUUGGAAACGAUAGCUAAUACCGGAUAACAGUAUUUCUCGCAUGAGAGAUAUUUAAAAGUUGGUUAUGCUAACACUAUGAGAUGGCUUUGCGGUGCAUUAGCUAGUUGGUGGGGUAAAGGCCCACCAAGGCGACGAUGCAUAGCCGACCUGAGAGGGUGAUCGGCCACACUGGGACUGAGACACGGCCCAGACUCCUACGGGAGGCAGCAGUAGGGAAUCUUCCGCAAAGGACGAAAGCCUGACGGAGCAACGCCGCGUGAGUGAAGAAGGAUUUCGGUUCGUAAAGCUCUGUUGUUAGGGAAGAAUGGAUAUGUAGUAACUAUACAUGUAAGAGACGGUACCUAACCAGAAAGCCACGGCUAACUACGUG